AACUUUUGGCAAUGGAUCACCCGGAGACGAGCAACAAUGCCUGCGACUACAGCUGAUCGGGAAGCGGCGAUUUUACUCGACCGAUGGGAGGCAACAAAUGAGUCUUUCAGACAGUGGGUCAAGGAGGCCAGCGAUGGAUGAUCCGACUGGACGACACGGUGCCAAUGCCCUGACGCGCAGGAAUGCGCUGCUCGCGCUUUCCGCGACCAUCGUGUCACCAAGCAUGGCGCAGCAGAUCAAGCCGGUGAUCCGAAUUGAACGCUUCAACAAUAUUCGAAUUGCCGUUUCGGAUUUGGAGCGCUCGACGGCAUUUUAUGAGAGGCUGUUUGGUCCGGCACUUAAGCAUAUCAAUAAGCGGAGGCU
This 363-nucleotide unclassified non-coding RNA is filed under the name uncultured Ascomycota. Its description in RNAcentral is "sequence contains ITS2". Lineage: Eukaryota; Fungi; Ascomycota. The record is from RNAcentral.